RNAcentral lists this ribosomal RNA (497 nucleotides) under uncultured bacterium. RNAcentral's name for it is "partial 16S ribosomal RNA". It matches the Rfam family "Bacterial small subunit ribosomal RNA", at positions 28 to 507 of the family's 1533-position model. The record is from RNAcentral.
GAUGAACGCUGGCGGCGUGCCUAAUACAUGCAAGUCGAGCGAACGGACGAGAAGCUUGCUUCUCUGAUGUUAGCGGCGGACGGGUGAGUAACACGUGGAUAACCUACCUAUAAGACUGGGAUAACUUCGGGAAACCGUAGCUAAUACCGGAUAAUAUUUUGAACCGCAUGGUUCAAAAGUGAAAGACGGUCUUGCUGUCACUUAUAGAUGGAUCCGCGCUGCAUUAGCUAGUUGGUAAGGUAACGGCUUACCAAGGCAACGAUGCAUAGCCGACCUGAGAGGGUGAUCGGCCACACUGGAACUGAGACACGGUCCAGACUCCUACGGGAGGCAGCAGUAGGGAAUCUUCCGCAAUGGGCGAAAGCCUGACGGAGCAACGCCGCGUGAGUGAUGAAGGUCUUCGGAUCGUAAAACUCUGUGAUUAGGGAAGAACAUAUGUGUAAGUAACUGUGCACAUCUUGACGGUACCUAAUCAGAAAGCCACGGCUAACUACGUG